AGAGUUUGAUCAUGGCUCAGAUUGAACGCUGGCGGCAGGCCUAACACAUGCAAGUCGAACGGUAACAGGAAGAAGCUUGCUUCUUUGCUGACGAGUGGCGGACGGGUGAGUAAUGUCUGGGAAACUGCCUGAUGGAGGGGGAUAACUACUGGAAACGGUAGCUAAUACCGCAUAACGUCGCAAGACCAAAGAGGGGGACCUUCGGGCCUCUUGCCAUCGGAUGUGCCCAGAUGGGAUUAGCUAGUAGGUGGGGUAACGGCUCACCUAGGCGACGAUCCCUAGCUGGUCUGAGAGGAUGACCAG
This 303-nucleotide ribosomal RNA is filed under the name Escherichia coli 2-156-04_S3_C3. Its description in RNAcentral is "bacterial SSU rRNA". It matches the Rfam family "Bacterial small subunit ribosomal RNA", at positions 8 to 307 of the family's 1533-position model. Lineage: Bacteria; Pseudomonadati; Pseudomonadota; Gammaproteobacteria; Enterobacterales; Enterobacteriaceae. The record is from RNAcentral.